Long non-coding RNA from Aplysia californica (California sea hare), 958 nucleotides. RefSeq lists it as uncharacterized. The transcript is spliced from 3 exons. Lineage: Eukaryota; Metazoa; Mollusca; Gastropoda; Aplysiida; Aplysiidae. The record is from RefSeq and is a predicted model, not a curated record.
AAGAGGCCACUAAGAAAUUAAUCAAGAAUGCCGACUACUACAACUUGCAGCUUACAGAUCACCUUACGGCACCGAAGCACCCACUUCCGGCGGGGCGUUCACCUUGUUGCGCAUCACCGGAAGUAUGCUGGGACGCUACGUCGAGCUGGUGACGAGAUGUAUCUACGUCAUCUGCCUUUUGGCGUCCUGGCUGCAGUCUUGUUCUCAAAGUUCCUACCCAAGACCUUUCGGCGCUCUUUGUGGAGAUGGUGGAAGAGAAAUAUGACCUUUCGUCUUUAGUUCUGAAUACUUCAAAGGUGAUGACUCUUUGGAAAUGCUCCACUCUGCUGUAUAACGUGACGCUCUCAGAAACAUAAAAAUGCCAUAUUUUCUGUCUGGGAGCGGAGCGAAAACAAAAGUAGCGAUGUUGACGAAGACAACGACAACAAAGAACAACAACAGCAGCAACAACAACAGCAACAAAAACAACAAAAACAAUAAUGAUUUGAGAUAAUGAUUAUAUUUAAAAGCAUCUGUAUUUAGAAAAAAACACGCUGGGCACUGAAAAAAAUAAUAUAAAAAACCUGCUUUGUAGUCUGUCUUUUCUUUUUUCACCUGUUCUUCACUUUAAAAUGUCUCAAUGCAUAAAGAUAGUUAUUUAAUAUACAUGUAGAUCUAUUGUGUGCUAAACAAUGUGCCAUACUUAUAUUUGUAUUUCUGUUAUUUAUAAGUUACAUAUUUUUCACACUGAUUUUUAAAAGUCAUUUUUUAAUCUUUUGAACUAAAUCUUAUUUCUAUGACAGCGUUUUCGCUCAUUUCUCAAAUCGAAGAGUUUUUACUUCACUUUUCUUUGAAUAACAUUGUGCUCCCUUCUUCUCACCUACGUUAUAUGAAUAAUUCUAAAUUAUGAAAGUUUAACAGCAUCACCGGUGCGUGUAAUGUGUGCCAUAUGAUAUUAAAAAGAUAUUAAUUAUUCUAA